This 796-nucleotide ribosomal RNA is filed under the name uncultured Methanosarcinaceae archaeon. RNAcentral describes it as "bacterial SSU rRNA". It matches the Rfam family "Archaeal small subunit ribosomal RNA", at positions 85 to 879 of the family's 1478-position model. The record is from RNAcentral. Lineage: Archaea; Methanobacteriati; Methanobacteriota; Methanomicrobia; Methanosarcinales; Methanosarcinaceae.
ACUGCUCAGUAACACGUGGAUAACCUGCCCUUGGGUCCGGCAUAACUCCGGGAAACUGGAGAUAAUUCCGGAUAACGCAUAUAUGCUGGAAUGCUUUAUGCGUAAAAUGGAUUCGUCUGCCCAAGGAUGGGUCUGCGGCCUAUCAGGUAGUAGUGGGUGUAAUGUACCUACUAGCCUACGACGGGUACGGGUUGUGAGAGCAAGAGCCCGGAGAUGGAUUCUGAGACAUGAAUCCAGGCCCUACGGGGCGCAGCAGGCGCGAAAACUUUACAAUGCGGGAAACCGUGAUAAGGGGACACCGAGUGCCAGCAUCAUAUGCUGGCUGUCCAGGUGUGUAAAAUACACCUGUUAGCAAGGGCCGGGCAAGACCGGUGCCAGCCGCCGCGGUAACACCGGCGGCCCGAGUGGUGAUCGUGAUUAUUGGGUCUAAAGGGUCCGUAGCCGGUUUGGUCAGUCCUCCGGGAAAUCUGACAGCUCAACUGUUAGGCUUUCGGGGGAUACUGCCAGACUUGGAACCGGGAGAGGUAAGAGGUACUACAGGGGUAGGAGUGAAAUCUUGUAAUCCCUGUGGGACCACCUGUGGCGAAGGCGUCUUACCAGAACGGGUUCGACGGUGAGGGACGAAAGCUGGGGGCACGAACCGGAUUAGAUACCCGGGUAGUCCCAGCCGUAAACGAUGCUCGCUAGGUGUCAGGCAUGGCGCGACCGUGUCUGGUGCCGCAGGGAAGCCGUGAAGCGAGCCACCUGGGAAGUACGGCCGCAAGGCUGAAACUUAAAGGAAUUGGCGGGGGAGCAC